RNAcentral lists this ribosomal RNA (1819 nucleotides) under human gut metagenome. Its description in RNAcentral is "bacterial LSU rRNA". It matches the Rfam family "Bacterial large subunit ribosomal RNA", at positions 710 to 2524 of the family's 2925-position model. The record is from RNAcentral.
UAGACCCGAAACCAGAUGAGCUAACCAUGGCCAGGCUGAAGGUGUGGUAACACACACUGGAGGGCCGAACCUACUGGUGUUGCAAAACCAGAGGAUGAGCUGUGGUUAGGGGUGAAAGGCUUAACAAAUCUGGAGAUAGCUGGUUCUCCCCGAAAACUAUUGAGGUAGUGCCUUGCGCAUGAGCUUCUGGGGGUAGAGCACUGUUAUAGCUAGGGGGACAUGGCGUCUUACCAAACUAUGGCAAACUCCGAAUACCAGAAAGCUUCGCGCAGGAGACAGAGCACCGGGUGCUAACGUCCGGACUCAAAAGGGAAUCAACCCAGACCGCCAGCUAAGGUCCCUAAUAUCAGCUAAGUGGAAAACGAAGUGGAAAGGCUAAAACAGUCAGGAAGUUGGCUUAGAAGCAGCCAUCCUUCAAAGAAAGCGUAAUAGCUCACUGAUCGAGUCCUUCCGCGCGGAAGAUGUAACGGGGCUAAGUUGAUAACCGAAGCUGCGGAUUCACACUUUGAGUGUGAGUGGUAGGGGAGCGUUCUGUAAGCCUGCGAAGGUGGAUCGUAAGGUCUGCUGGAGGUAUCAGAAGUGCGAAUGCUGACAUGAGUAACGAUAAAGCGGGUGAAAAGCCCGCUCGCCGCAAACCCAAGGUUUCCUGCUCUACGUUAAUCGGAGCAGGGUGAGUCGGUUCCUAAGGCCAGGCUGAGAAGCGUAGCUGAUGGAAAUCAGGUUAAUAUUCCUGAACCGGCGUUGAAUGCGAUGGGGUGACGGAGCAGCCAGAGUGGACCGGGUGUUGGAUGUCCCGGCUUCCGAGCGAUGGGUGCCUGCAGGCAAAUCCGCAGGCGUAUACCCAGGACGAAGGAUCGGGUCUUCUUUUGAAGACGAAGCCACUGGAAGCGCUUCCAGGAAAAACCUCUAAGCUUCAGUUCAACGGCGACCGUACCGUAAACCGACACAGGUGGGUGAGCUGAAUAUGCUCAGGCGCUUGAGAGAACUCGGGAGAAGGAACUCGGCAAAUUGACACCGUAACUUCGGAAGAAGGUGUGCCUUUGUAGCUUGAUGGGAGAGAAACCCAAAGGGUGAAGAGGUCUCAGAGAAUCGGUGGCUGUAACUGUUUACUAAAAACACAGCGCUCUGCAAAGAUGAAAGUCGACGUAUAGGGCGUGAUGCCUGCCCGGUGCUGGAAGAUUAAUUGAUGGGGUGCAAGCUCCUGAUCGAAGUCCCAGUAAACGGCGGCCGUAACUAUAACGGUCCUAAGGUAGCGAAAUUCCUUGUCGGGCAAGUUCCGACCUGCACGAAUGGCAUAAUAAUGGCCACACUGUCUCCUCCCGAGACUCAGUGAAAUUGAAAUGUUUGUGAUGAUGCAAUCUCCCCGCGGCUAGACGGAAAGACCCCAUGAACCUUAACUGUAGCUUUGCAUUGGACUUUGAACCGAUCUGUGUAGGAUAGGCGGGAGGCUUUGAAGAAUGGACGCCAGUUCAUUCGGAGCCGUCGUUGAAAUACCGCCCUGAUUUGUUUGAGGUUCUAACCUGGGCCAGUAAUCCUGGCUGGGGACCGUGCAUGGUGGGCAGUUUGACUGGGGCGGUCUCCUCCUAAAGGGUAACGGAGGAGUGCGAAGGUACGCUAAUCACGGUCGGAAAUCGUGAGGAUACUGCAAUGGGAAAAGCGUGCCUGACUGCGAGACAGACAAGUCGAGCAGAUGCGAAAGCAGGUCAUAGUGAUCCGGUGGCUUCUGUAUGGAAGGGCCAUCGCUCAACGGAUAAAAGGUACUCUGGGGAUAACAGGCUGAUACCGCCCAAGAGUUCAUAUCGACGGCGGUGUUUGGCAC